GUACCGAUGAAGAGUCCCAAACUAGGACGAGACAGCCGUCCAGUAC
Molecule: non-coding RNA, 46 nt
Filed under: Trichobilharzia regenti
Lineage: Eukaryota; Metazoa; Platyhelminthes; Trematoda; Strigeidida; Schistosomatidae
Source: RNAcentral